RNAcentral lists this unclassified non-coding RNA (329 nucleotides) under Hevea brasiliensis (rubber tree). The record is from RNAcentral. Lineage: Eukaryota; Viridiplantae; Streptophyta; Magnoliopsida; Malpighiales; Euphorbiaceae.
GUGGUUAUUUUACCCAUUUGAGCUGCACACCUCCAGGAGGGAUGCUCAAGUGUGCUCUCGAAGAGCAGCCCUCCACAGAAAUCUUAGUGAUUCUAGUUGUUCACUAAUAUGAACCUCAUGGAGUAUAGUUGUUCUUAUUGUAAACUUUGAGGUCAUAAGACCAAAAUUACUCUUUUCAUAGCACAUGAAUUAACAUUGUUCUUUCUCCCAUUGUUGGUAUUAAUAUUCAUUUGUGCAACACACAUCAAUCCCGGAACUUAUUCCUGCUUCUUACUAAGGGGGUAAUAUUUGUAACGCUUUGUUCUCAAAUUCAGGUUGUUGGUUGCCUU